GAUGAACGCUGGCGGCGUGCCUAAUACAUGCAAGUCGAGCGAACGGACGAGAAGCUUGCUUCUCUGAUGUUAGCGGCGGACGGGUGAGUAACACGUGGAUAACCUACCUAUAAGACUGGGAUAACUUCGGGAAACCGGAGCUACUACCGGAUAAUAUUUUGAACCGCAUGGUUCAAAAGUGAAAGACGGUCUUGCUGUCACUUAUAGAUGGAUCCGCGCUGCAUUAGCUAGUUGGUAAGGUAACGGCUUACCAAGGCAACGAUGCAUAACCGACCUGAGAGGGUGAUCGGGCAAAACGGAAACUAAGAAAGGUCCAGGACUCUAAGGGAGGGCGGAGUAAGGAAACUUUCGGAAAGGGCGAAAGGCUGAAGGAGGAAAGGCGGGGGAGGGAAUAAGGGCUUUGGAUAGGAAAACUCUGUUAUUAGGGAAGAACAUAUGUGUAAGUAACUGUGCACAUCUUGACGGUACCUAAUCAGAAAGCCACGGCUAACUACGUG
RNAcentral lists this ribosomal RNA (497 nucleotides) under uncultured bacterium. RNAcentral describes it as "partial 16S ribosomal RNA". It matches the Rfam family "Bacterial small subunit ribosomal RNA", at positions 28 to 507 of the family's 1533-position model. The record is from RNAcentral.